AUUGAACGCUGGCGGCAGGCCUAACACAUGCAAGUCGAGCGGAUGAAGGGAGCUCGCUCCUGGAUUCAGCGGCGGACGGGUGAGUAAUGCCUAGGAAUCUGCCUGGUAGUGGGGGAUAACGUCCGGAAACGGGCGCUAAUACCGCAUACGUCCUGAGGGAGAAAGUGGGGGAUCUUCGGACCUCACGCUAUCAGAUGAGCCUAGGUCGGAUUAGCUAGUUGGUGGGGUAAAGGCCUACCAAGGCGACGAUCCGUAACUGGUCUGAGAGGAUGAUCAGUCACACUGGAACUGAGACACGGUCCAGACUCCUACGGGAGGCAGCAGUGGGGAAUAUUGGACAAUGGGCGAAAGCCUGAUUCAGCCAUGCCGCGUGUGUGAAGAAGGUCUUCGGAUUGUAAAGCACUUUAAGUUGGGAGGAAGGGCAGUAAGUUAAUACCUUGCUGUUUUGACGUUACCAACAGAAUAAGCACCGGCUAACUUCGUG
Molecule: ribosomal RNA, 484 nt
Filed under: uncultured bacterium
Lineage: Bacteria
Description: partial 16S ribosomal RNA
Rfam family: Bacterial small subunit ribosomal RNA
Source: RNAcentral